RNAcentral lists this small RNA (93 nucleotides) under marine sediment metagenome. Its description in RNAcentral is "DUF3800-V RNA". It matches the Rfam family "DUF3800-V RNA". RNAcentral also lists the same sequence under 1 other name. The record is from RNAcentral.
AAGUGAGCGGUAAGACCGUUGUAGGUUCCUCUGGUGUUCCCUUCCAUAGGUUGGCUAAGCCAGGGGGCACGCACCUGCAGGGCACGCUCUUUU